CGGACAGAUGGCCGAGAUGGUUAUGGCGCCAGGUUAAGGUUGUACCUUAAUACAUGUGAUUCGUCAUAUAGUUUCCUGGUCACGAAAGUGGCGUGGGUUCGAGUCCCACUCUGUUCA
This 117-nucleotide transfer RNA is filed under the name Pseudogymnoascus destructans. Its description in RNAcentral is "partial tRNA-Leu". It matches the Rfam family "tRNA". From Rfam's summary of the family: Transfer RNA (tRNA) molecules are approximately 80 nucleotides in length. Their secondary structure includes four short double-helical elements and three loops (D, anti-codon, and T loops). Lineage: Eukaryota; Fungi; Ascomycota; Leotiomycetes; Thelebolales; Thelebolaceae. The record is from RNAcentral.